RNAcentral lists this ribosomal RNA (322 nucleotides) under Neoheteromita sp. RNAcentral's name for it is "SSU rRNA". It matches the Rfam family "Eukaryotic small subunit ribosomal RNA", at positions 633 to 955 of the family's 1831-position model. RNAcentral also lists the same sequence under 1 other name. The record is from RNAcentral. Lineage: Eukaryota; Cercozoa; Glissomonadida; Sandonidae.
GAUUUCUGGCGUUUCAUUUCAGGCCGGCCACGGUUUCGUGUGUUAGUGCUUGAGAUCUUCGCCAUCCUUCCAAUGGCUAUUCAUCCUUCUUCAUUGAAGGUGUGAGUGGUAUUGGAUCUUUUACUUUGAAAAAAUUAGAGUGUUUAAAGCAGGCUUUUGCUAUGAAUACAUUAGCAUGGAAUAAUAAUCUAGGACUUCGGUUCUAUUUUGUUGGUUUCUAUAACUGAAGUAAUGAUUGAUAGGGAUAGUUGGGGGUGCUAGUAUUGGCCGGCCAGAGGUGAAAUUCUUGGAUUCGGUCAAGACUAACUUAUGCGAAAGCAUU